Macaca fascicularis (crab-eating macaque) is the source of this 2800-nucleotide long non-coding RNA. The record is from Ensembl. NCBI's taxonomy places the organism in Eukaryota, Metazoa, Chordata, Mammalia, Primates, Cercopithecidae.
UGACAUAUAACCAUCAGAGUAUUUUAUUCUCAAAUUCACAAAAACGAUAAACCAGAAGAUUAAAGCUAGAAGAGAUUAGUGGUUAUUGGUAUAUUUAACAGAAUUCAGAUUAAAAGGCUUACAUUUGUAUGAGAAUUAUUGUUUCUCAAGAUUUCGGAAUUCUAUUUAUGUAACCAAAACAAUUAGAAUAAUUCAGAUACUGCCUGUGUAAGUUUACGGCCAAGGUUUCCCUCAAUUUCCCUCUAAACUGGAUAUGUAGUCUUGCUCUUCACCUGCUUCCCCGGAGUCUCCAACUAUGUAAGUAAUUCUCAGAUAAUUGUCUCUCAGUCAUUUUCAGUCAUAGGAACAUGUCAUUUCAGGAAUUCAAAUUCCUAAAUCCAUAUACUAACAAAAUUUUUGAAUUUUAUGCAAAGUUAAAGUUUUUCUUUUUCCUUUGGCUCCAACUGAACUCAGAUGAGAAAAUCAGCACAGAAAAAGGUAGUGUAGAUGACUUCUCUCUUUGUCUCAGGAGAGAAUCUCAGGGAGUUCUUGCAUACAUCCCUACAGAGCCCUGCAACUGCAGCUCCUGACAUGGGUCAUGAACCUGCACUUGUGUGUUGUGUGGUUUGGAUUCUGCCUCACCCUCAAACCAGGUGUCUCAUAUUUUCUGUUAGAGCUCUGUAUCCCACCCAUCACUCUUCAUGCAUGGCAGCUGUCUAAGUAUGCUAUUGCUGCUGUGACAAAUAAGCACAAAUUUAGUGGAUAAAAACAACAAAAAUUCUUCUCUUACAGUUUUAGAGGGUUGGAGUCUGAAAAGUCUUAUGGAGCUAAUACCAAGGUUGCAGCAGGGCUGAAUCUGUUCGUCUCCUCACCCAGCUUCUCAUGUCUGCCAGCAUUCCCUCACUUGUGGUUUUGUCAUUCCAGCUUCUGCUCCCAUGAUUGCACUGCCUCCUCCUUUUCUCUCCUCAAAUCUCCCUCUGCAUCCGUUUUGUAAGGAUACUUGGGAUACAUUUUAAGCCUACUCUGAUAAUCCAAAAUAAUCCUUCAAUCUCGAGAUCCUCAAUCUCUUCUCACUUAUGCUAUGUAUUUUUUGCCCUAUAAGGUAGCAUUCACAGCUUCCAAUGAUUAUGACCUGGAUAUACUGGGCGCCAUUAUUCAGCCUACUACAGAAUCUAGGAUGAGUCCAGGUUAUUCCCUGCUCUCAUUUGGACACCUUUUACCCACAAUAAACAUUCACACAUAGUUUAUUUCAUAUGGAUGUGCAGUGGGUUCCCAGUGGAUCUUUCACAACUCUACCACUACAGACUUCUGGAAGCAUGAUUCUCAACACCUGUUUUUCAAACCACACCUCACCUCCAUUCUCCACGCUCUUUUGCUGCAUUUUGUGCAGCUGAAUUCUAACAACUGCAUCACACAGUCUUCCUCACCCUCUGACUUCUGUCUGUUUUCAACCACUGGGAGACAUUGGUAGGAGAAGAGAAGCUAGGAGAAGAAAGUGGAAAAAUUACAUAAUUCUCUAGCUCCUUCCUCAUUUUCAGGUCCUGGAAAUGGCUAGAAUCUGUCCCGAACUCUUGGCAUCUUCUGAUACUCAACAAUGGAGAAUGGCAUGAACGUCAUCCUGCUGCCCUACACAAUAUUGUCUAGACUAUGGGUAGCUAAAAAAUCUAUUUGCAAUUAAUAGUAAAAAAAUAAAAACUAGGUUCUGAUUAAGUAUUCUGCUGUAUUUUGCUAGAAUAUUGGCUACUUAAAUGUUUUCCAUAUAAUUAUUCAAUAAAUAUUUAUUCUGAUAUGGCCCAUCUCCAUUCUGAUAUACCCCGUGUUGAAUUUUUUCUUCAGAAAGGAAAAGAGAUUUUUCUCCUUCAUUUAAUCCAGUGAUUAUUUUUCAUUUAAACAUCAGGCAUCUGGUUAAUAUACUGUAGGUGUGCAAAAAGUGUCACUGACACAUCCUUUCAUGGUGCGUUCCUCUGUACAAACACUUCCAACCACAGUGUUGCUAGCCCUUGAAAGGACAUUUAGCACCUAGACCACUGAUGUUAUUGUAAUGAUUCUCGGUAAUUCUAACUUGGGUCAUGAGAAAGGAGAAAGACAUUUCUGAUGAAAAAUAAUAAAAUUCUACUGCAAGAGAUGUUGAAAGUCAAAUCUGUGUAUCUGGCCCAGAAGCAGUAGGUUUCGCUUAACAGAGGAGAAGGAAAUCAAAACUGAGAUUUGCAAGCCUGGAUGUGGGUGACCGCUAUUAACUAUCACAUUAGCAUCGUUAUCAUUUGGACAAGCAUGACCACAGGUAACAACAUUAGCUUCAGAAUCAUGAAAGGAUUUUUUGUUGGAAGAGGAAAGAGGGAGGAAUGUAGAGACAGGUAAUAAUGUGAAAUAACAUGAGCCAGGAAAAAUUUUGAUGCAAUGAGAAUAAGAAAUAAUGUGAGGAUGGAAAAAUUAUUGAUACAAGUUAUACAUAAGAUUAUAUAAGUGUUAUAAUCAUGUUCUGAACAUGCAUUCUUUGAGAUUUUGUCUCAAUUGGAUGUAUUUAGGUAACGUAAUUUGUAAACAGAAAUAAUGGGCAAGUGCAUGCACAUAAAGAAAACUCCUGAAUAUCUGUCAUACUGCCCGUUUAUAUAAAUCAGAAUCCUUCACAAUCUUGAACUCAUUCUGCUUAGAAAAAUAAAAUGUGAUUUGAUAAUAAGAUUUCCAGAAAACACAUUCAGGCAUUUAUAUUAGAGAAACAGGAAGCUAGACCAUUUUAAAAAUCAUUUUUCUUAAAUUGUAAGUGACUAAAGCAUCCAUGAAUACUAUGCAGCCAUAUAAAACAAUGAGAUCAUGUCUCUGC